This 675-nucleotide ribosomal RNA is filed under the name Triticum aestivum (bread wheat). RNAcentral describes it as "partial small subunit ribosomal RNA". The record is from RNAcentral. Lineage: Eukaryota; Viridiplantae; Streptophyta; Magnoliopsida; Poales; Poaceae.
AUGGGUAAUUGUACAAAACUAACCCAUCUUGAUCUCUCCUAUAAUUUUUUGUCGCAAGGAUCCAUUGGAAGCAUAAGAAAUCUAACGAGUUUACAUUACCUAGAUCUUUCCAACAAUCAAAUAAAUGGUUUCCCUUCGACCAUUUUGAAAUUAGCCUCUCUAACAACACUGGAACUUGGAUCCAAUCAACUUAAUGGUCUAUUACCACCAGAGUUAGGAUCACUUGUUCUUCUCUCACAUCUGAAUCUUUCCAACAACCGGAUCAUGGGUUCCAUUGGAAGCAUAGGAAAUCUAACAAGUUUAGAAUUCUUGGAUCUUUCUAACAAUCAAAUAAAUGGUUCCAUCCCUCCAACCUUCUGGAAAUUUAUCUUAGUUACAACACUGUCACUUGAUUCCAAUCAGCUUAAUGGCCUAUUACCGCCAGAGUUGGGAUCACUUGUUCUGCUCACAGAUCUGAACCUAAGUAGCAACCUAUUUCUAGGAAAUAUUCCACCUGAGAUAGGACAUUGCCACCUUUUAUCAUCGUUAAUCUUAUCAGACAACUUAUUGACAGGAGAAAUACCACAAGAACUUGGGUAUCUCACCAAUAUAUAUGAGCUAGAUUUGAGUAGAAACAAUUUAAGUGGUGCCAUCCCAACGACUUCUUCUAAUCUUACGCAACUGUGUAUAGACUAA